Molecule: transfer RNA, 88 nt
Filed under: Penicillium salamii
Lineage: Eukaryota; Fungi; Ascomycota; Eurotiomycetes; Eurotiales; Aspergillaceae
Description: tRNA-Tyr
Rfam family: tRNA
About the family: Transfer RNA (tRNA) molecules are approximately 80 nucleotides in length.
Source: RNAcentral
CCCUCUUAUAGCUCAGCUGGAAGAGCGUGGGACUGUAAUUGAACAUUGUCAUCCCAAGGUCCGCGGUUCGAUCCCGCGUGAGAGGAUC